GGUAUCCUGUCUGAAUAUGGGGGGACCAUCCUCCAAGGCUAAAUACUCCUGACUGACCGAUAGUGAACCAGUACCGUGAGGGAAAGGCGAAAAGAACCCCGGCGAGGGGAGUGAAAAAGAACCUGAAACCGUGUACGUACAAGCAGUGGGAGCACAGAGCAAUCUGUGUGACUGCGUACCUUUUGUAUAAUGGGUCAGCGACUUAUAUUCUGUAGCAAGGUUAACCGAAUAGGGGAGCCGAAGGGAAACCGAGUCUUAACUGGGCGUUAAGUUGCAGGGUAUAGACCCGAAACCCGGUGAUCUAGCCAUGGGCAGGUUGAAGGUUGGGUAACACUAACUGGAGGACCGAACCGACUAAUGUUGAAAAAUUAGCGGAUGACUUGUGGCUGGGGGUGAAAGGCCAAUCAAACCGGGAGAUAGCUGGUUCUCCCCGAAAGCUAUUUAGGUAGCGCCUCGUGAAUUCAUCUCCGGGGGUAGAGCACUGUUUCGGCAAGGGGGUCAUCCCGACUUACCAACCCGAUGCAAACUGCGAAUACCGGAGAAUGUUAUCACGGGAGACACACGGCGGGUGCUAACGUCCGUCGUGAAGAGGGAAACAACCCAGACCGCCAGCUAAGGUCCCAAAGUCAUGGUUAAGUGGGAAACGAUGUGGGAAGGCCCAGACAGCCAGGAUGUUGGCUUAGAAGCAGCCAUCAUUUAAAGAAAGCGUAAUAGCUCACUGGUCGAGUCGGCCUGCGCGGAAGAUGUAACGGGGCUAAACCAUGCACCGAAGCUGCGGCAGCGACACUGUGUGUUGUUGGGUAGGGGAGCGU
This 812-nucleotide ribosomal RNA is filed under the name Escherichia coli. RNAcentral's name for it is "partial 23S ribosomal RNA". It matches the Rfam family "Bacterial large subunit ribosomal RNA", at positions 428 to 1239 of the family's 2925-position model. Lineage: Bacteria; Pseudomonadati; Pseudomonadota; Gammaproteobacteria; Enterobacterales; Enterobacteriaceae. The record is from RNAcentral.